Molecule: ribosomal RNA, 452 nt
Filed under: Escherichia coli
Lineage: Bacteria; Pseudomonadati; Pseudomonadota; Gammaproteobacteria; Enterobacterales; Enterobacteriaceae
Description: bacterial SSU rRNA
Rfam family: Bacterial small subunit ribosomal RNA
Source: RNAcentral
GAGUGGCGGACGGGUGAGUAAUGUCUGGGAAACUGCCUGAUGGAGGGGGAUAACUACUGGAAACGGUAGCUAAUACCGCAUAACGUCGCAAGACCAAAGAGGGGGACCUUCGGGCCUCUUGCCAUCGGAUGUGCCCAGAUGGGAUUAGCUAGUAGGUGGGGUAACGGCUCACCUAGGCGACGAUCCCUAGCUGGUCUGAGAGGAUGACCAGCCACACUGGAACUGAGACACGGUCCAGACUCCUACGGGAGGCAGCAGUGGGGAAUAUUGCACAAUGGGCGCAAGCCUGAUGCAGCCAUGCCGCGUGUAUGAAGAAGGCCUUCGGGUUGUAAAGUACUUUCAGCGGGGAGGAAGGGAGUAAAGUUAAUACCUUUGCUCAUUGACGUUACCCGCAGAAGAAGCACCGGCUAACUCCGUGCCAGCAGCCGCGGUAAUACGGAGGGUGCAAGCGU